Long non-coding RNA from Oncorhynchus nerka (sockeye salmon), 1801 nucleotides. RefSeq lists it as uncharacterized. NCBI's taxonomy places the organism in Eukaryota, Metazoa, Chordata, Actinopteri, Salmoniformes, Salmonidae. The transcript has 2 exons. The record is from RefSeq and is a predicted model, not a curated record.
CUAAACCACCUCACUCACUUGAAGAAAAGUGUUUAUCGCUACGUUACAGUAGGUGGCAGAACUUCUUCAACCCCACAGAAGAAGCCAAAAAGCCUUCAACAGGAAGUUACCAUCCAUCCUUCGUAUGCUAGCUCAAGCUGGCUAACAUUAGCCACACCUCAUGCUCUUUACAGACAUUGGCAUUUGAUUGGCAUCAACAUUUUCAUAGUAUUUAAACAACGAUCACCCACUUGGGUAUAAUCAAUGAGGAGAUGGCACGUGGGUACCUGCUUCUAUAAACCAAUGAGGAGAUGGGAGAGGCAGGACUUUCAGUGCGAUCUGCUUUAGAAAUAGAAUAGAGUUCUAUUUUAGCCUUUGGCAACGCAGACGCUCGCGAGCAGUGUGGGUGCAAUAAUUGAAUAACAUAGAUUCCUACAUUUAUUUUGCAAAGCGAGCUGUGUAGUCAGGGUAUUAGUCUGCUCUCUCUUUGCUUUUCAUCUGCGUUUAUGUUUUAGUUCUGUUAUGUUGUGUUCUAGCUGGUUUCCAGAAGUUGUGCUCUAGCUUGCCGACGAUAAACGUGGGGAUUUGCUAGGCUGGCUAGGCUAAUACCUAGUUGGCGAAAUAGCUAACAUUAGCUGGCUGGCUAAGAUAACUUGAUAUAGCUACCAUUCUUUGAUAACUGGAUUACUUUAAUGUAGCUGUAAACUAGGUGUUGAUAGUGACUGGCUGACUCAUUCAGUGCUAACGUCAGCAGGCUGACUAAUAGAGCUAACGUUAGCAGGCUAGUUGGCUAGUAACCUUGCAAGUUUAUUUCUAACAAUAAAUUCAUAAGGCAUUUGCUUUUUUUAAAUUGGCUGAAAAUGUAAUUGAACCAGCAUGGGUGCAAUGAGUGCAAAAUAUUUGGUUUAAUUUGAAGUUCUACAUUUGAAGUUAUUUCUGUUGGAGUUUAUGUUAUGGUGAAUAGGCUUGCUUGCCAGGUCCUUCAUAUUACAUCACAUCCCAGAAAAACAUUUUCAGACGUGACUUUGGCAUUCUUCAGAAUUCUGAUAGAAAAAUAGAAAAGUGAGGUGUAACUUUGCAUUGGGUCUUUGCAUGUGCAUACUAGUGCAAAUCCAUAUGUUAAGUGGGGUGACAUUUAUGCUACCCAACCUUUAAUGACAGAAUAUAUUUGAAACUUAACGCACAUUAACUUUUAUGACAAAUAAAAUAAUAAUUAUGGUAUUUUAUCUAUAGGUGUGAAAAAGGUGUUCAUGCAUUGAUAAGCACACCAAAGACGGCAUUAAUGAUAAGAAGUAAAAUUCUACUUCUAAAAGCCUAUUUCACACCAUAGACUCCUUCAUUUUGAUUUCAGCACAAAUUUUCUAGCCUGGAUUUUGAAUCGUGCAUGGAAAAAGUGGAUCAUUCAACGAAGACGUUGGACCUUGUUAGUUAUCUAGUAAAACAACACGUUUGAAAAUGUUUCUCGCUUUUAGCUUUCUCGGCUGUUCAUGCACCAGAUUGGAAUGAAACUUUUUUGUUCAACUUUGGUUUCUGCUGUAAUGGGUGCCAAGGACCUGAAGUCGACGGUGUGGCGGAUGCUAUCUUGCACCAUCUUGCCAUCGCCACAAACUGGAUAAUUGCAUGCUGCUACUGGACAGUAUGUUGUCCAACUCACUUUGCACAUGGGAAAACAAUGUCCACUAUGGAUAUCCAUGUGGGCAAUGUAAUCAUUUGUUAUAUAUUGUUUAUGUACAAUGUCACUUAUUUGAUUGCUCUACUGAAUCACUUUGAUUACUGUCACUUUUUUUUGCCAUUGCACUGUCAAUAAAUGUAUUUUAAUUUA